This 25-nucleotide non-coding RNA is filed under the name Drosophila melanogaster (fruit fly). Lineage: Eukaryota; Metazoa; Arthropoda; Insecta; Diptera; Drosophilidae. The record is from RNAcentral.
CGUAAAACAAUUCAAGAUCUGGCCG